GACGAACGCUGGCGGCGUGCUUAACACAUGCAAGUCGAACGGAAAGGCCCUGCUUUUGUGGGGUGCUCGAGUGGCGAACGGGUGAGUAACACGUGAGUAACCUGCCCUUGACUUUGGGAUAACUUCAGGAAACUGGGGCUAAUACCGGAUAGGAGCUCCUGCUGCAUGGGGGGGGUUGGAAAGUUUCGGCGGUUGGGGAUGGACUCGCGGCUUAUCAGCUUGUUGGUGGGGUGGUGGCUUACCAAGGCUUUGACGGGUGGCCGGCCUGGGAGGGUGACCGGCCACAUUGGGACUGAGAUACGGCCCAGACUCCUACGGGAGGCAGCAGUGGGGAAUAUUGCACAAUGGGCGGAAGCCUGAUGCAGCAACGCCGCGUGCGGGAUGACGGCCUUCGGGUUGUAAACCGCUUUCGCCUGUGACGAAGCGUGAGUGACGGUAAUGGGUAAAGAAGCACCGGCUAACUACGUG
This 468-nucleotide ribosomal RNA is filed under the name uncultured bacterium. RNAcentral's name for it is "partial 16S ribosomal RNA". It matches the Rfam family "Bacterial small subunit ribosomal RNA", at positions 28 to 507 of the family's 1533-position model. The record is from RNAcentral.